GAAGCUCCUUAUGGAGCGAAGUCUUUGAUUCCCCGCUGCCAAGAAAAGCUUCUAGCGAGAUAAAAGGUGCCUGUACCGCAAACCGACACAGGUAGGCGAGGAGAGAAUCCUAAGGUGUGCGAGAGAACUCUGGUUAAGGAACUCGGCAAAAUGACCCCGUAACUUCGGGAGAAGGGGUGCUUUCUUAACGGAAAGCCGCAGUGAAUAGGCCCAAGCGACUGUUUAGCAAAAACACAGCUCUCUGCGAAGCCGUAAGGCGAAGUAUAGGGGGUGACACCUGCCCGGUGCUGGAAGGUUAAGGAGAGGGGUUAGCGUAAGCGAAGCUCUGAACUGAAGCCCCAGUAAACGGCGGCCGUAACUAUAACGGUCCUAAGGUAGCGAAAUUCCUUGUCGGGUAAGUUCCGACCCGCACGAAAGGUGUAACGAUUUGGGCACUGUCUCAACCAGAGACUCGGUGAAAUUAUAGUACCUGUGAAGAUGCAGGUUACCCGCGACAGGACGGAAAGACCCCGUGGAGCUUUACUGUAGCCUGAUAUUGAAUUUUGGUACAGUUUGUACAGGAUAGGCGGGAGCCAUUGAAACCGGAGCGCUAGCUUCGGUGGAGGCGCUGGUGGGAUACCGCCCUGACUGUAUUGAAAUUCUAACCUACGGGUCUUAUCGACCCGGGAGACAGUGUCAGGUGGGCAGUUUGACUGGGGCGGUCGCCUCCUAAAGUGUAACGGAGGCGCCCAAAGGUUCCCUCAGAAUGGUUGGAAAUCAUUCGUAGAGUGCAAAGGCAUAAGGGAGCUUGACUGCGAGACCUACAAGUCGAGCAGGGACGAAAGUCGGGCUUAGUGAUCCGGUGGUUCCGCAUGGAAGGGCCAUCGCUCAACGGAUAAAAGCUACCCCGGGGAUAACAGGCUUAUCUCCCCCAAGAGUCCACAUCGACGGGGAGGUUUGGCACCUCGAUGUCGGCUCAUCGCAUCCUGGGGCUGUAGUCGGUCCCAAGGGUUGGGCUGUUCGCCCAUUAAAGCGGUACGCGAGCUGGGUUCAGAACGUCGUGAGACAGUUCGGUCCCUAUCCGUCGUGGGCGUAGGAAAUUUGAGAGGAGCUGUCCUUAGUACGAGAGGACCGGGAUGGACGCACCGCUGGUGUACCAGUUGUUCUGCCAAGGGCAUAGCUGGGUAGCUAUGUGCGGAAGGGAUAAGUGCUGAAAGCAUCUAAGCAUGAAGCCCCCCUCAAGAUGAGAUUUCCCAUAGCGUAAGCUAGUAAGAUCCCUGAAAGAUGAUCAGGUUGAUAGGUUCGAGGUGGAAGCAUGGUGACAUGUGGAGCUGACGAAUACUAAUAGAUCGAGGACUUAACCAUAUAA
Molecule: ribosomal RNA, 1348 nt
Filed under: Bacillus thuringiensis
Lineage: Bacteria; Bacillati; Bacillota; Bacilli; Caryophanales; Bacillaceae
Description: partial 23S ribosomal RNA
Rfam family: Bacterial large subunit ribosomal RNA
Source: RNAcentral